Molecule: ribosomal RNA, 465 nt
Filed under: uncultured bacterium
Lineage: Bacteria
Description: partial 16S ribosomal RNA
Rfam family: Bacterial small subunit ribosomal RNA
Source: RNAcentral
GACGAACGCUGGCGGCGUGCUUAACACAUGCAAGUCGAACGGAAAGGCCCCUUUGGGGGUACUCGAGUGGCGAACGGGUGAGUAACACGUGAGUAACCUGCCCUUGACUUCGGGAUAACUUCAGGAAACUGGGGCUAAUACCGGAUAGGAAUCCUUGCUGCAUGGUGGGGGUUGGAAAGCUUCGGCGGUUUUGGAAGGACUCGCGGCUUAUCAGCUUGUUGGUGGGGUAGUGGCUUACCAAGGCUUUGACGGGUAGCCGGCCUGAGAGGGCGACCGGCCACAUUGGGACUGAGAGACGGCCCAGACUCCUACGGGAGGCAGCAGUGGGGAAUAUUGCACAAUGGGCGGAAGCCUGAUGCAGCAACGCCGCGUGCGGGAUGACGGCCUUCGGGUUGUAAACCGCUUUCAGCAGGGGCGAAGCUUGUGGUGACGGUACCUGCAGAAGAAGCACCGGCUAACUACGUG